Molecule: ribosomal RNA, 255 nt
Filed under: uncultured bacterium
Lineage: Bacteria
Description: partial 16S ribosomal RNA
Rfam family: Bacterial small subunit ribosomal RNA
Source: RNAcentral
CGGACGGGUGAGUAACGCGUGGAAAACCUGCCGUAUACUGGGGGAUAACACUUAGAAAUAGGUGCUAAUACCGCAUAAGCGCACAGCUUUGCAUGAAGCAGUGUGAAAAACUCCGGUGGUAUACGAUGGUUCCGCGUCUGAUUAGCUAGUUGGUGAGGUAAAAGCCCACCAAGGCGACGAUCAGUAGCCGGCCUGAGAGGGUGAACGGCCACAUUGGGACUGAGACACGGCCCAGACUCCUACGGGAGGCAGCAG